CUGAACGCCUCUAAGUCAGAAUCCGUGCUAGAAAUGAUGAUGUUGGUCCCGCACAUUUGACUUGAGUUAAAAUAGAGCUUUGCUCGUGAACCAAAUCAGGUGGGCUUGGGCCGUCUUUGCGGAAAUGCUUUGGCGAUUUGCCUACGAAUUGUAAUCAUAAUAUGGGCGGGGGUGAAUCCUUUGCAGACGACUUGAAUGGGAACGGGGUACUGUAAGCGGUAGAGUAGCCUUGUUGCUACGAUCCGCUGAGGUUAAGCCCUUGUUCUAAAGAUUUGU
Molecule: ribosomal RNA, 276 nt
Filed under: Tricholoma matsutake
Lineage: Eukaryota; Fungi; Basidiomycota; Agaricomycetes; Agaricales; Tricholomataceae
Description: partial 25S ribosomal RNA
Rfam family: Eukaryotic large subunit ribosomal RNA
Source: RNAcentral